RNAcentral lists this unclassified non-coding RNA (212 nucleotides) under Hevea brasiliensis (rubber tree). The record is from RNAcentral. Lineage: Eukaryota; Viridiplantae; Streptophyta; Magnoliopsida; Malpighiales; Euphorbiaceae.
GCCUGUCUCAAUCUGCUGGUGUCGCUUGGCGCGCAGCGCAAGAACAUCUGGGUUUGCGAUAUCGACGGUCUUGUCUAUGAAGGCCGCAAUACGCUGAUGGAUAAAUGGAAGGCCGUCUACGCGCAGAAGACCGACAAGCGUACGCUGGGCGAUGUGAUCGGCGGCGCGGACAUUUUCCUCGGCGUGUCAGCCGGCGGCGUACUCAAGCCCGA